RNAcentral lists this ribosomal RNA (439 nucleotides) under uncultured bacterium. Its description in RNAcentral is "partial 16S ribosomal RNA". It matches the Rfam family "Bacterial small subunit ribosomal RNA", at positions 339 to 795 of the family's 1533-position model. The record is from RNAcentral.
CUACGGGGGGCAGCAGUGAGGAAUAUUGCACAAUGGGGGGAACCCUGAUGCAGCAACGCCGCGUGGAGGAUGACGCAUUUCGGUGUGUAAACUCCUUUUAUAUGUCAAGAAAAUGACGGUAGCAUAUGAAUAAGCACCGGCUAACUCCGUGCCAGCAGCCGCGGUAAUACGGAGGGUGCAAGCGUUACUCGGAAUCACUGGGCGUAAAGGACGCGUAGGCGGGCUUGUAAGUCAGGUGUGAAAUCCUACAGCUUAACUGUAGAACUGCACUUGAAACUACGAGCCUAGAGUAUGGGAGGGGGAGGUGGAAUUAGUGGUGUAGGGGUAAAAUCCGUAGAUAUCACUAGGAAUACCUAAAGCGAAGGCGAUCUCCUGGAACAUAACUGACGCUAAGGCGUGAAAGCGUGGGGAGCAAACAGGAUUAGAUACCCGGGUAGUC